CAAAGUCCGUAAUAAAUCACCUUUCAACGAGAGAAAAAUGGAUUAGGGUGGUUUGCUUUGGCAGCUUCGGUUGAGAGGCAGCUGAGUGGGAAAGCGGCACCCAGGUCCCCAGCUCCUUCGGCUUGGAAGGAAGGGCUAGGUGGACAUCAGGAGACCAAAGCAUUUAUGCAACAUGAGAGGGUCAUGAGAAGAGGCGGGUAGAUGGCACAUAAGGCACCUGCGAGAAUCAGAGAGAGGAGGAAAAGGAGGAAGAAGUAAAGGGACUCUCUCUGCUCUUAUCUAGGGCCGCGUGGACCAUCUGUAGCCCGGACGCUCUCCAUCCCUCCUUCCCUACUCGAGGACAUCAGGCCAGCAAGCUUCUCCUCUCUUCUACAACACCGAUCGUUUGCGCUCCACUGGGUCACUCCCGCAAGAACAUCUUAGCGGCCACCACCACUACAGAACACUUCUCUUGACCUUAUUUCUACUUCUUUGCUCUCUUUACUUGCCACGUGCCUUGAAAGAGCUCCCUGUAGUCUCUGUAUCUGCUUCUGCUGCUCUUAGUCUUUCGCUAACCUCGUCACCUAAGGCUUUCUCGUCCACUACACUGUGAACCGGUUCCUGCCCCAGGGCCUCGGCACUUACUGUUCCCUUGACCCAAAUAACUCUGUGUCCGCUCUUUUACCCUUCU
Ailuropoda melanoleuca (giant panda) is the source of this 670-nucleotide long non-coding RNA. RefSeq lists it as uncharacterized. NCBI's taxonomy places the organism in Eukaryota, Metazoa, Chordata, Mammalia, Carnivora, Ursidae. The transcript is spliced from 3 exons. The record is from RefSeq and is a predicted model, not a curated record.